UUGUGCUUGAUACUUGUGAUAUCUAAAUAUGUUAGUUGGGUCUGUUUAAAAUGCAGUAGCCCACAUGUGAGACAAGCUAAUCGCUAGCGUCGCUAACGGCUACAGUGAGUCAACUGAGCCUUUGUCCCUUUCAAAUGUGCUACUCUGAGUUGGUGCAAUCACACACCUGUGUGGGGAACAGCUAAUAGCGAUGGGCCUUCGAUCGGCGACAGGCAGGAAGCGGUGGAUCGAGCUUUUGUCCUGUUGACGUGCUGCCGCUCCUGUUUGUGUUGCGUUAGCCGUUAGCAUGCCUUUAGGCCUUUACACUUUAGAGCUACAGCUGGUCGAUCGCUACAAAAAAAAAACUGCAGAUGAACGCGGUUGUGUUUGUUAUUACCCCGUGCUGUGUCACAGCCUAAAUCAACUUGUGAUUUGGGGUUAUGUCAUUGUUCUAUCAAAUUCUAACAUGAUUAGUUGGAAUGAUUACUGUGUUGUGUUGCAAGCUUAGUUGCUAAUUAGUCACAUCUCUACAAUACCUGCUGCUUAUCUGGUCAGUUACCGAUAGCUUGUACCGUAGCCAUUAUAUUUGUAGGACCAAUACAAUUUACAGUAAAUGUAACAGUCUUUUCUAUACUGUAGGGAGCCACAUCCCAGUUACCUACAUGCAAGGAGGCUGUGAAACAGAGAAAUCACUGCAGACUGUUGGUACACAGACAUCUGCUGCCCAGCUCAGGAGUGAAGUACCUUUUGUUUUGAUGAGGUGAUGGUGAGGACAGCCACAGCUUCCAUCUGGUAGAGGACUGCUUCCGCUCAGUCUUCCAAAUAGUGAUGAGAACAAGGAUCACCUCAUCUCACUGUUUACCCUACUUUCAUGCAUUUCGUCUGCAAGGCCCUGCAAAAGCUUCUCCUUCGUCCUCAAUCCCCCAGACUUCUUAAUUAACUCAGUAACCUAUACAUUGCACAUUGGAGUGUGAAGGUAACAGUUUGUUCUAGCUUUGAAGUAGUGGUGUAUUUUUUUCGUUUACAAUAAAGUUGGCUUUAACUAUUA
Betta splendens (Siamese fighting fish) is the source of this 1027-nucleotide long non-coding RNA. RefSeq lists it as uncharacterized. The transcript has 2 exons. The record is from RefSeq and is a predicted model, not a curated record. Lineage: Eukaryota; Metazoa; Chordata; Actinopteri; Anabantiformes; Osphronemidae.